RNAcentral lists this ribosomal RNA (468 nucleotides) under uncultured bacterium. Its description in RNAcentral is "bacterial SSU rRNA". It matches the Rfam family "Bacterial small subunit ribosomal RNA", at positions 24 to 518 of the family's 1533-position model. The record is from RNAcentral.
UCAGGACUAACGCUGGCGGUGCGCCUAACACAUGCAAGUCGUACGGGCUCCUUCGGGAGCUAGUGGCAGACGGGUGAGUAACGCGUAGGUAAUGUACCUCUUCGCUGGGGAUACCUACCUGAAAAGGUGGCUAAAACCGAAUGAGCUUUUCAAGCGGCAUCGCUUGAUUUGCAAACCUCCGGGGCGAAGAGAUCAGCUUGCGUACUAUCAGCUAGUAGGUGAGGUAAUGGCUUACCUAGGCUUCGACGGUUAGCCGGUCUGAGAGGAUGAUCGGCCACAUUGGAACUGAAACACGGUCCAGACUCCUACGGGAGGCAGCAGUGAGGAAUCUUGCGCAAUGGGCGAAAGCCUGACGCAGCGACACCGCGUGAGGGAUGAAGGUCUUCGGAUUGUAAACCUUUGUCAGUGGGGACGAGAACGGACGGUACCCGCUGAGGAAGCAUCGGCUUACUACGUGCCAGCCGCCGC